UCUUCUUCAGAAGAUGUGCCCAUGAGCAGUUGCAUUAGAUCGAAUAAGAGAGCAGCAUAUCAUUGUAUAGGAAUUGGAAUGAAUGAAGCAGAGAGGAUAUCUGAUAAUGAAAGAUGGGACAGUCCCCUAAGGACUUGCAUAGCCCUAGCUACAGAACUGGCUGGCACAGCAUAGAGCAAGUCCCAGGGAUUUGAAAGCAGAUGAAAGACUUUUCAACAUCUGCAGCUGAAGUGGAAGCAGGAGGGAUCUGCCUGGCUCAGAUCUCCCCUGAUCAUUUUGCUGAAGAAGGUCACAAUUCUGCUGCUGUCUGGACUGUGCUAGUCACCUCUUGCAAACAUUUAUCUAAACUUCCAUCACUGAAAGCUAAGCUACAGCAUCUGAACUGGAUAUUCACCAGGAAGCAACAAGUUCCCUCCAGGUUCUCAACUGAAACUUUUUAUAUGACUCUGUAA
RNAcentral lists this long non-coding RNA (452 nucleotides) under Anser brachyrhynchus (Pink-footed goose). RNAcentral's name for it is "lncRNA (ENSABRG00000006978.1)". Lineage: Eukaryota; Metazoa; Chordata; Aves; Anseriformes; Anatidae. The record is from RNAcentral.